Long non-coding RNA from Danio aesculapii, 3503 nucleotides. RefSeq lists it as uncharacterized. Lineage: Eukaryota; Metazoa; Chordata; Actinopteri; Cypriniformes; Danionidae. The transcript is spliced from 2 exons. The record is from RefSeq and is a predicted model, not a curated record.
AUAUAUAUAUAAAAGAAUUAGAAAUAAAGUUAAAAUAAACCACUUUUGUAAUGAUAAAGCCAUUAAGGGUACAUUUAUAUGAUGAUGUACUAAAAAUGGAAAUGUUCCUUCUAUAGAUGACAAUGUUAGCAACAUGAUACCCAUUCAAAACUCUAGAGUUCAAGAUUCACAUUGUGUUACAUUUAUUUAUGAUUUUAAAGCGAUAGUUCACCCACAAAUUUAAAUGUACUCAAACUCAAGUGGUUCUGUAUCUUUAUGAGACUCUUUUAUCUGUCAAACACAAAGAAGAUACUUUGAAAAAUGUUAAAAACAUAAAACAACUGGCUUCCAUAGUUCCGUAGUUAAUACUUUCAUAUAAAUACAAAUACUAUGGAAUCCAUAAUUACAUGUUUUCAAAACGUUUCAAAACUACUAAAGAAGCUCAAUUGUGACAAGUGAUAAUUGAGUUAAUGAUGACAGAAUUUUCAGUUUUGGUUGAACUAUCCCUUUAAGGUCCCCUAAUACAAUUCAGAGACAUAAAUAAAAACACCCAUAAAUCACAAUGUAAAUGUUAAAAAAGGGGUAUUUCUACACUUGGAUCAGCAAAAAUGACAAAAAAAUAUUGUAACAUGCAAUACAGACCACUAAAGAAACACUACACAUCUGUGCGCUUGUACAGUCUUUGACAUUUAAACACAGCCCGGUCGUCUGCCAUUGUUGUUUCAUAAAUUAAGUGCUCAAUCAAAGUGGAUAACAGUUUUAAACAGCAAAAAUCAGUCCAAGGCACUUGAAAAAUGUGCAAAAUAUUAAAAAGCCUUUAUCGACAUGGCUAUUUCUUAAAACUGUGCUUAUGCGUUUUCAUUAGGGUAGCGUUUUCAUUAUUUUUUUCCAAAUUUUUCGAGUGCAUUGAACUAAUUUUUGCGGUUUAUUCUGAUGAAUCCCUUACCCAAAGAGCCCCGACACAUUAUUUAAGCUAUCCCUGCGCAUUUUUUGUUUGAUUUUGGAUAAACCUAAAAUGCUGUUGUCAUAUAAAGGAACAGCCAAAACACAAACAGUUUUGCAUUUUUAGUUGGAAAUGAGGCUAUGUAAAUGUACCCAAACAAUGUUUACAAAGAGUGAAUCCAAAAAUACCCAUUCAAAACCCUGUAUUUCGAGAUUCACAUUGUGUUACAUUUAUUUAUGAUUUUAAAGUGAUAGUUAACCCACAAAUUUAAAUGUACUCAAGCUCAAGUGGUUCUAUAGCUUUAUGAGUUUCCUUUUUCUGUCAGACACAAAUUAAGAUACUUUGAAAAAUGUUAAAACAUAAAACAACUUCCAUAGUUAAUAAUUCCAUAUAAAUACAAAUCCUGGGGAGGUCAAUAACUAUGUUUAUGUAUGUUUUCAAAAUGUUUGUUUAUAUAUGUUUUCAAAACUACUAAAGACGUGUGACAAGUGAUGAUUGAGUAAAUGAUGACAAAAUUUGGGUGAACAAUCCCUUUAAGGUCCCGUAAUACAAUUCAGAAGCAUAAAUAAAUGGAAAACACCCAUAAAUCACAGUGUAAAUGUAAAAAAAAAGGGUAUUUCUACACUUGGAUUGGCAAAAAUUACAAAUUUUGUAACAUGCAAAACAGAUCACUAAACAAACACUACACAUCUGUGCGCAUAUACAGUCUUUGACAUAUAAACACAGUCUGUUCGUCUGCGAUUGUUGUUUCAUAAAUUAAGUGCUUAAUCAAAGUGGAUAACAGUUUUAUACAGCAAAAAUCAGUCCAAUGCUUUCGAAAAAUAAGCAAAAAAUAUUAAAACGCCUUCAAACUGCACCUACGUUUUUUGGCAAACAACUGUGUUCAUCAAGGUUGUGUUUUUAAUAUUUUUUCCACAUAUUUCGAGUACCUUGGACUUUUGCUGUUUAUUCUGAUGAAUCCCUUACCCAAAGAGCACCGACACAGUUUUUAAGCUAUCCCUGAGCAUUUUUUGUUUGAUUUUGGAUAAAGAAACCUAAAAUGCUGUUGUCAUAUAAAGGAACAGCCAAAACACAAACAGUUUUCCAUUUUUAGUUGGAAACUAUGUUAUGUAAAUGUACCUAAACAAUGUUUACAAAGAGUGAAUCCAAAGUAGUCGCCAUUUUUACUUCAGCCAAAAAUGUACCACCAAAAAACAAAACAAACAAAAAGUUUGAUAAAUAGAGCCUAUUUUGUUGAAGAAGAAGCAACCAGAUCAGGGUUUAUUUUACCUCUGUCAGCUAGUUGUAUUAACACAGCAAACAGAGGAUGUUAAUAUUACCAGCUUUGCACAUCUGUUUGAGUAAAUGUGUUCAAAGAAGAGAGAGAGACAUAGAACAGUAUUGAUUCAUAGAACAAAAUCAACAGAGUUCUGAGUGGAAACUCCCAAGAUGUCUGACCCAGUUUGAAGCUUUCGCAACUAAUGGAAAAAAAAGUGCCAAGCCGAAAACUGACUGUUGAUCUUCCUUUCAAAGCAAAUGUUUGCAUAAAUCUGUUUUCCUAUAAUUGUUUUCUUUUGUUCGUGGUUUGCAUUUCGAAAGAUAUUGUUUAUCAGUUAAUUAGAAUCAUUGUUUGUGGCCAAAAAUAAGCUUCUUCCAGUGUGUUUGUGUGCGUGGAUUCGAUACAAGCUUUAAGCCACGAAUACUGAUCCGUCGCUGUCAUACUUUGAGCUCUAUAAGUGAUCUGAAAUGAAGCUCAGUCAAUAAUGUUUGAAUCAUUUCGCUUUAGAUGCGUUUUUGCAUCGAAAACAAUAUUUAUGUCUUUCUCCCUCAUCCACUUCUUCAGUCCCUGCUUUCUAUUAGCCUCGAUUUGGUAAAGUAUGUCAGUAAAAGCAAGAACAAAGUAGACUAGAUGGAUAAAAUCAGACACUCUGCCCUUUUUUUUCUCUCUUAGUUGUUAAAAGCAAAAUCCGAACACUAAAAGUCUACAUUUCAUCUAUCGAACGCUAUUAUCUCUUAGGUGGAAUAUAUUGAAAAUGUGUGCGCUGAUAAUAGGAGUUAUGUGAUUGUUCAGUUGCAUAUCAUAGAUUGAGAAGCUAGUUUCAUUCUGGCAGAUAUUGUUAGGGUUGUUAUGUAAUAUAUAAUUAAUUCUUUCUUUCUUGUGGUGAUUGGAUUUAAGUGCCGAAUACUUUCAGCUCCCAGAUAAACAUCUGUUAUGUUGUUGUAAUUAUAACUUGGUUGAUAUUGAAGAUGUAGUCAGAUCCGAUCAAACCAUGUGCCUACUUUUACACUUCUCUUAUUUAAUUAAUAUAUAUAUAUAUAUUAAAGUGAUGUUAAAAUUUGUUAAAAAUGUGGACCAAAUCGAAAAGGGAAUCCGGCUUAUACUGUGUUUUCUUGUUUACGUAUAUAUUAAUGCGAUAAUUAAUCUGCAUUGUCCGAAAUUAGAAACCAAACAACAAGACUUUCAAAUCAAUGUAUUGUGUAGAAUCCGUAUUACUGAUUUAUGAUAGUCGGUUUUGUUAAUCAAGUAAACGCUGUAUCUGAUAUUUUCUGCUGAAAAUAAACCUGCCCUUGAAGUGUCUGCUCCGAGGCUCUUGCUCCAUCA